This 62-nucleotide transfer RNA is filed under the name Ictidomys tridecemlineatus (thirteen-lined ground squirrel). RNAcentral's name for it is "Spermophilus tridecemlineatus (thirteen-lined ground squirrel) tRNA". It matches the Rfam family "tRNA". From Rfam's summary of the family: Transfer RNA (tRNA) molecules are approximately 80 nucleotides in length. Their secondary structure includes four short double-helical elements and three loops (D, anti-codon, and T loops). Lineage: Eukaryota; Metazoa; Chordata; Mammalia; Rodentia; Sciuridae. The record is from Rfam by way of RNAcentral.
GGAGUUGUAGCUCAGUGGUAGAGCACUUACUUUGCAAGUGUGAGGUCCUGCAUUCAAUUCUA